CGUGUGUAAGUGGGCAGAGUGCGACAAGGGUAGCCAUAUUGAAUUUUGCCGUUGUCCAAGGCGUUUGCUGCUUUGUGAUAUGAGUUUUUGAGUGUGCCGCAUUUUAAAGAAAUCUGGUCAACGUUGUUUAUGUGCAUAUUGCCAGAAGUUCGUGACCCUGAAGAUAAAGUAAAGCCUGGCUCACCAAGUGACAAGCUGAAUUCAGCUGCAAAGAAGAAGGUAGUGAUGGCACAACUUUACAAGGGUAAACCAGAAGCCCGUGAUUUAUCUGAGUUCGACAUAGAGCCAGGUAUUGCAUGAUUUAACUUCAAAGUACUUGUAGAACUGGACGACUCCAAUUAAGUUUUUUAAAUUUCAACAUACCCUCAGACAGUGGAACCGUUGAGCCUCAAAACAAGCAGUGCCGAAGGGAAAGAAGAGGCAAUUUUCUGAAUCAGUUUCCAGAGACUGGAGAAGCUACCGACUUCAGGCCGCAGAGGAGAAAUUUGGUGUCUGCCAAAUGCAGUCAUCAAUUUUGGUAAUGAAUGGUGGUGUAAUAGCCCAAGGAGGGAAAUCAAGAUAUCAGUAUAUGACUCAGCACCGUCUGGAGAUCAGUGAAGACUGAAGAAAGAGACAAGUAUGUGAAAAAGACACAACGUGAAGAGGAAGGGCACAAGAAAAAAUAUCCUGGUAAGUGAUUUGCCUCAAUAUUCUCUAAGUCUCAUCAUGUGUAAUAUAAAGCUUUUGUCCUGUUACAUUCCUCUGCUUUCUCCUGCAUUCCUUUCCAGUCCUGUAUGCUGUUGAAUGAUGCAUCAAGACUGACUUUAAUGCCAUCUCCCACUAAUGCACAUAAAUAGUCAAUUGUGAACCUUCUCCUUUAUAUGCUGUACUGAACUUAACAUAUUUGCAUCAAAAUGUUAGUAUUUCGAGGGUAGACAUGAUACACUGAGACAGACUUCCUGUUCCUUCGUGACGAGCUGUGCAUUCCUGCACGGUGUCAGUGCUUGAUAAUUGGUCGUGUUUGGAAGGAUUUCUGCACCCAGGUUGUCAAGGGAUUUUAAAUGCCUGCAGAGCCACUAAACGAGCUGUUUUGCUCAAAAAGUUGGUACCACAAGGACAUGAAGUGGAAAAGCAAAAUGUGUACUUACCAGCACAAUGCAAGAAGACAAAUUCUUUGCAUUGUAGUGACAUCUCUAAGUUUUAAAGUGUACUGUAGCCGUUAAUCUUUUGGGACGGGCGCACUGGUGGAACCAUGUGUGGUGUGCCACUUGUAGUUGGAUAGCUGUGUGGGAAGGUGAGCUGCUACCACCAACUGGGUAAAGGUGGCCGAAGCCGUCAGCAGUGAUGGGUAAAGAUGGGCGCUGGUGAAUUGCCUGCUAGCGAUUCUGGAGGUAGUCGUUGGUGAUGUAGCCUCACCUUGGUAGUAGUUGGGCACCACCCCGGUCGGGGAACAUGAGACUAUCAUCACAUGGCCCAUUAAUUGGGCCUUGGCUUCAACACAGAUGGUCAACAAAACCGUAACAAACCCUUUACAACACUCACUUUAUUGAUUUUUACAUAUUACUUGUAUUACGUAGUGUAGUGCAAUUGCGCUCGGGACCUGUAUUGGUCCUUUGUUC
This is a long non-coding RNA of Cryptotermes secundus, 1598 nucleotides long. RefSeq lists it as uncharacterized. The record is from RefSeq and is a predicted model, not a curated record. NCBI's taxonomy places the organism in Eukaryota, Metazoa, Arthropoda, Insecta, Blattodea, Kalotermitidae. The transcript is spliced from 5 exons.